AUGCGCAUCGUCGAGCCCCCGCGCUUCUCCAGCAUCACCGUCCCGGCGCUCCAGGUCGACACCAGCGCCGGCCCCGACCCCGACAGCGACGUCGCGCAACUCCUCGUCGGCCGCGUGUGCUCCGCCAGCGCCGACGGCCUCCUCCUUAUCGUCAUCUACGAUCUCCGCGCCACGGCUCCCAUCCUCGCCAAGCAGGGCGCCAAUCAUGUCCGCCAGCUGACCGGCCUCGUCCGCGGGCACACCCCGGACACCACGCGCUUCCUCUACAACCCUCUCACCGGCCAACUGACCCGCCUCCCGGCCAUCGACGUCGGCCCGUGGCGGCUCGUGUGCGGCCCUCACAUGGGCGUCCUCACCCAAGCCGGUCGCGGGCACGGAGACGGACCUCCCGACAGGGUCGCCGUCGCCGAGCUGCAGGGGAACAGGAUGCUCCGCUUUCUCUCGGACACGGGCGAGUGGGACGUCGCGGUCACCACGCCGUGCCAACUCCCGGGCGUCCGGCGGUUUCACUCGGAGACGGGCAGGAGGUUCGACCAAGAGGCGUUCGCCUUCGGCGACCGGCUGUGGUGGGCUGACCUGAGCUGGGGCGCACGCCCAGGGCCGGCGCCAGGGUGGCUUGACCUGGAGGGUUUUGAGGCCCUGUCCAAAGACGCGCCGGCAGUGGGCAGGUACCGGCGCGUGGGGGUCAGCGAGGGAAGGCUGCGCUACGCCGAGGUGUGGAGCCGGGAGCCGUUCGUGCUCAGCUCCUUCACGCUCGACGACGAGGGCAGCGGCUGGACGCUGGAGCACCGCGUGGUGCUCAGCCGGCUCUGGGCGGAUGGAGACCACCCAUGGCUGCCCUUGCCGGAGAAGACGACGCCACAAAUUGUCGCUCUUGACCCACUGAACGGCAAUGUCAUCUACCUGAAGGUCGGCAGGCACAGCAUCGGCGUGGACAUGAGCAAGGAGGAGGUGAUUCGGAGCUUUCUGGACAGAGGAGCCGGGUGCAUACCAUGCGUGCUUCCACCGUGGCUUGAAUCCAGCCGGAACUCUGCCGCAGGUAAUCAGUGUGUGGAAACUCGGACAAAGUCAUCCUAUUUAUAUUAA
Molecule: ribosomal RNA, 1086 nt
Filed under: Triticum aestivum (bread wheat)
Lineage: Eukaryota; Viridiplantae; Streptophyta; Magnoliopsida; Poales; Poaceae
Description: partial small subunit ribosomal RNA
Source: RNAcentral